CAUGAUGAGAAAUCCACUUGACUGAAAAACAGAAGGAGCAAGACUCAAGCAUGGCGAGGAAGAGGUCUGCUUCUGGACCAGGGGAUUGCUAUGAAGAAAGGAACUCACCCACAGCUGGAUGCUUCAGGGAAGAGGUGAAGAGGAAGAGACUGUAAAAUUUGGCACUGGAGCUAGGAGGAGGGAUGGAUUACUAAGAUUGUAUAAGGAGCCAAAUGGUGAAGAGCCUGUGGACCAAAAGGACACUGAGAUAUGAGCCACAGAGACAUGCAGUCACAGAAGAAUUCCCUUUGUCUGACUGUGUCCCUACCACCACCAGGAAUGAAGACAACAGUAUUGAUGUGUCUGAGUGUCCACUCAAAAUAUGCAGGUGGGUGCUUUCAUCACACAGGGCAGUGAAUGCCUACUCUGAGUUACCUAGUGCU
This 422-nucleotide long non-coding RNA is filed under the name Junco hyemalis (dark-eyed junco). Its description in RNAcentral is "lncRNA (ENSJHYG00000016818.1)". Lineage: Eukaryota; Metazoa; Chordata; Aves; Passeriformes; Passerellidae. The record is from RNAcentral.